GUGGAGUCUGUCCAGCUGAUCUGCAAAACCACAGUUUGUCUGCCUAAAGAUGCUAAAGUGGAGUGGAAGGAUGCAAACAACAGGAAGGUCCACGUGUAUGAGAACGGCUCUGACCAGCCAGAAGAACAACAUGAGGAUUAUAAAGCCCGAACGAAGAUGAAGAGGAAGGUCCUGGAACCUGGAGACCUCAGUCUGACCCUGAAAUACCCCACAGAUGGAGACAACUCCACCUACACCUGCACCGUCUACAGCAGGGAGGGAAACGUCCUGAUGGAGAAACAAGUGGAGCUGAAAGUCAGAGUCCCCCAGGUGGAGGUGGAUUCAGGGGUGGAGUCUGUCCAGCUGCCCUUCAACACCACACUUCACCUGCCUGAAGACGCUAAAGUGGAGUGGAUGGACAAUUACACGAUCCUCAGUAUACCACACAACAGGAAGGUCCACGUGUAUGAGAACGGCUCUGACCAGCCUGAAGAACAGCACCAGGCUUACAGAGACCGAACGAAGAUGAAUGAAGACCUGCUGAAAACUGGAGACCUCAGUCUGACCCUGAAAUACCCCACAGAUGGAGACAACUACACCUACACCUGCACCAUCUACAGCAGGGAGGGAAACAUCCUGCUGAAGAAACAAGUGCUGCUCACUGUCAGAGUCCCCCAGGUGGAGGUGGAUUCGGGGGUGGAGUCUGUCCUACUGCCCCUCAAAACCACACUUCACCUGCCUGAAGAUGCUAAAGUGGAGUGGAAGGAUAACAAUGCAAAGGUCCACGUGUAUGAGAACGGCUCUGACCAGCGUCACAAACAGCACCAGGUUUUCAGAGACCCGAGCGAAGAUGAAUGAAGACCUGCUGAAAACUGGAGACCUCAGUCUGACCCUCAAAUACCCCACAGACUGGGACAACUGGACCUACACCUGCACCGUCUACAGCAGGGAGCGAAACAUCCUGCUGAAGGAACAAGUGGAGCUGAAAGUCAGAGUCUGUCAGGUGGAGGUGGAGGAGGGGGCGGAGUCUGUCCAGCUGCCCUUCAAAACCACACAAAACCUGCCUGAAGAUGCUGGAGUGGAGUGGGUACAUAAAGAACCUGAAUACAGGAAGGUCCACGUGUAUGAGAACGGCUCUGACCAGCCUGAAGAACAGCACCAGGUUUACAGAGACCGAACGAAGAUGAAUGAAGACCUGCUGAAAACUGGAGACCUCAGUCUGACCCUGAAACACCCCACAGAGAGAGACAGUGGGAGAUAUGAAUGUGAUGUGAGGAGGAACGGACGGGUUAGAUUCAAAACAGUGCAGCUCAACGUCAAAGG
Oreochromis aureus is the source of this 1302-nucleotide long non-coding RNA. NCBI's taxonomy places the organism in Eukaryota, Metazoa, Chordata, Actinopteri, Cichliformes, Cichlidae. The record is from Ensembl.